RNAcentral lists this ribosomal RNA (476 nucleotides) under Bacillus sp. Mc3-4. RNAcentral's name for it is "bacterial SSU rRNA". It matches the Rfam family "Bacterial small subunit ribosomal RNA", at positions 118 to 580 of the family's 1533-position model. The record is from RNAcentral. Lineage: Bacteria; Bacillati; Bacillota; Bacilli; Caryophanales; Bacillaceae.
UGGGUAACCUGCCUGUAAGACUGGGAUAACUCCGGGAAACCGGGGCUAAUACCGGAUGCUUGUUUGAACCGCAUGGUUCAAACAUAAAAGGUGGCUUCGGCUACCACUUACAGAUGGACCCGCGGCGCAUUAUCUAGUUGGUGAGGUAACGGCUUACCAAGGCAACGAUGCGUAGCCGACCUGAGAGGGUGAUCGGCCACACUGGGACUGAGACACGGCCCAUACUCCUACGGGAGGCAGCAGUAGGGAAUCUUCCGCAAUGGACGAAAGUCUGACGGAGCAACGCCGCGUGAGUGAUGAAGGUUUUCGGAUCGUAAAGCUCUGUUGUUAGGGAAGAACAAGUACCGUUCGAAUAGGGCGGUACCUUGACGGUACCUAACCCGAAAGCCACGGCUAACUACGUGCCGCAUCCGCUGUAAUACGUAGGUGGCCAGCGUUGUCCGGAAUUAUUGGGCGCAAAGGGCUCCCAGGCCGUU